Gorilla gorilla gorilla (western lowland gorilla) is the source of this 762-nucleotide long non-coding RNA. RefSeq lists it as uncharacterized. The record is from RefSeq and is a predicted model, not a curated record. NCBI's taxonomy places the organism in Eukaryota, Metazoa, Chordata, Mammalia, Primates, Hominidae. The transcript has 3 exons.
AGUGCCUGCUGCAAAUUAUCAGUAAUAACAAUAAGUCUUUGUCACGUAAUGAGUUACCUUUCAGUCUCUCUGCAGUCUCUUUCCUCCCAAUGCCCCUUGGCUGCUCCCGAAGCCCUGACUCCUGACCUCCUGCCCCUUCUGUCUCCAGGGCCAUUAACUCCCCUGCUGAUCCCUAUCCAUGGAGCCCAUUGACAGAUGAGUUUGGUUCUGGACCUAAGAAGGACAGUUACAGACACAGAUACCUUUUAAGCCCUGCCCAUCCCUCGGCACACAUCUCAAAGAGGAACUGCCCCAUGAAGCAUUCCUGAUCCCCAGCCAGGUGUGAUGGUCUGUCCUGCGAGCCCCCCACAAGGUAGCCCCCUUCGGAUAUCUGGGACAGCUCUCGUGUCCUGUUGUGUCUUUCUCCAGUGUACACGUUCUAGGCUCUCACAGUGUUUUUCACUUCGUCCCAGCAAGGCUAUUGUUUUUAAGUGCUCUUGAAAGAACCUUCUCUGCAAGGUCAAAUAGAAAUGAGUAGUCAAGUUAGCACUGACCCGACCCCUCGCUGCAUCUCAGCAAGAGCAAAUACUUUCACAUCUCUCCAGCGGUGCAGAAAUAACUGGCAAGAGUCACAUUCACACACACACUUGCUCAAAUUAUGCCAAUAAAAGGAAGUUGCGAAAGUGUGAAGACAGCGUGAGGUUUCUGGUUUCGUAGAAAAACAGAGGGGUUAGCCCCCAAUUCAAAUUUUUUUUCUUUGAUCUAUGUUUAAAGAAAGCCCUG